GACGAACGCUGGCGGCGUGCUUAACACAUGCAAGUCGAACGGAAAGGCCCUGCUUUUGUGGGGUGCUCGAGUGGCGAACGUGUGAGUAACACGUGAGUAACCUUCCCUUGACUUUGGGAUAACUUCAGGAAACUGGGGCUAAUACCUGAUAGGAGCUCCUGCUGCAUGGUGGGCGUUGGAAAGUUUCGGCGGUUGGGGAUGUACUCGCGGCUUAUCAGCUUGUUGGUGGGGUAGUGGCUUACCAAGGCUUUGACGGGUAGCCGGCCUGAGAGGGUGAACGGCCACAUUGGGACUGAGAUACGGCGCAGACUCCUACGGGAGGCAGCAGUGGGGAAUAUUGCACAAUGGGGGGAAGCGUGAUACAGCAACGCCGCGUGCGGGAUGACGGCCUUCGGGUUGUAAACCGCUUUAGCCUGUGACGAAGCGUGAGUGACGGUAAUGGGUAAAGAAGCACCGGCUAACUACGUG
Molecule: ribosomal RNA, 468 nt
Filed under: uncultured bacterium
Lineage: Bacteria
Description: partial 16S ribosomal RNA
Rfam family: Bacterial small subunit ribosomal RNA
Source: RNAcentral